GCCAGGCAUGGUGAUGCAUGCCUGUAGUCCCAGCUACUUGGGAGGCUGAGGUGGAAAGAUUGUUCGAGCCCGGGAAAUUGGGGCUGCAGUGAGCUGCUACUGUACUCCAGCCUGGGCAACAGGGUGAGGUUCUGUCUCAA
Non-coding RNA from Homo sapiens (human), 140 nucleotides. It matches the Rfam family "Metazoan signal recognition particle RNA". From Rfam's summary of the family: The signal recognition particle (SRP) is a universally conserved ribonucleoprotein. NCBI's taxonomy places the organism in Eukaryota, Metazoa, Chordata, Mammalia, Primates, Hominidae. The record is from Rfam.